GUGAACGCUGGCGGUAGGCCUAACACAUGCAAGUCGAACGGCAGCACAGUAAGAGCUUGCUCUUACGGGUGGCGAGUGGCGGACGGGUGAGGAAUACAUCGGAAUCUACUUUUUCGUGGGGGAUAACGUAGGGAAACUUACGCUAAUACCGCAUACGACCUACGGGUGAAAGCAGGGGAUCUUCGGACCUUGCGCGAUUGAAUGAGCCGAUGUCGGAUUAGCUCGUUGGCGGGGUAAAGGCCCACCAAGGCGACGAUCCGUAGCUGGUCUGAGAGGAUGAUCAGCCACACUGGAACUGAGACACGGUCCAGACUCCUACGGGAGGCAGCAGUGGGGAAUAUUGGACAAUGGGCGCAAGCCUGAUCCAGCCAUACCGCGUGGGUGAAGAAGGCCUUCGGGUUGUAAAGCCCUUUUGUUGGGAAAGAAAAGCAGCAGGUUAAUACCCCGCUGUUCUGACGGUACCCAAAGAAUAAGCACCGGCUAACUUCGUG
Molecule: ribosomal RNA, 491 nt
Filed under: uncultured bacterium
Lineage: Bacteria
Description: partial 16S ribosomal RNA
Rfam family: Bacterial small subunit ribosomal RNA
Source: RNAcentral